AGAGUUUGAUCCUGGCUCAGGAUGAACGCUGGCGGUCUGCUUAACACAUGCAAGUCGAACGGACGUUUUCGGACGUUAGUGGCGGACGGGUGAGUAACGCGUGAGAAUCUGCCUUCAGGUUGGGGACAACAGUUGGAAACGACUGCUAAUACCCAAUGUGCCGAGAGGUGAAAGCUUUAGUGCCUGAGGAUGAGCUCGCGUCUGAUUAGCUAGUUGGAGUGGUAAUGGCACACCAAGGCGACGAUCAGUAGCUGGUCUGAGAGGAUGAUCAGCCACACUGGGACUGAGACACGGCCCAGACUCCUACGGGAGGCAGCAGUGGGGAAUUUUCCGCAAUGGGCGCAAGCCUGACGGAGCAAGACCGCGUGAGGGAGGAAGGCUCUUGGGUUGUAAACCUCUUUUAUCAGGGAAGAAGAUCUGACGGUACCUGAUGAAUCAGCAUCGGCUAACUCCGUGCCAGCAGCCGCGGUAAUACGGAGGAUGCAAGCGUUAUCCGGAUUUAUUGGGCGUAAAGCGUCCGCAGGUGGUUUUUCAAGUCUGCUGUUAAAGCGCGAGGCUUAACCUCGUAACGGCGGUGGAAACUGAGAGACUAGAGUAUGGUAGGGGUAGCGGGAAUUCCCAGUGUAGCGGUGAAAUGCGUAGAUAUUGGGAAGAACACCAGCGGCGAAAGCGCGCUACUGGGCCAUCACUGACACUCAUGGACGAAAGCUAGGGGAGCGAAAGGGAUUAGAUACCCCUGUAGUCCUAGCUGUAAACGAUGGAUACUAGGUGUUGCCCGUAUCGACCCGGGCAGUGCCGUAGCUAACGCGUUAA
This 813-nucleotide ribosomal RNA is filed under the name uncultured Oscillatoriales cyanobacterium. RNAcentral describes it as "bacterial SSU rRNA". It matches the Rfam family "Bacterial small subunit ribosomal RNA", at positions 8 to 863 of the family's 1533-position model. Lineage: Bacteria; Bacillati; Cyanobacteriota; Cyanophyceae; Oscillatoriales. The record is from RNAcentral.